UACGAAGGGGGCUAGCGUUGUUCGGAGUUACUGGGCGUAAAGGGCGCGUAGGCGGCGCACCAAGUCAGGCGUGAAAGCCCUGGGCUCAACCCGGGAAUUGCGCUUGAGACUGGUGUGCUUGAGUACGGGAGAGGAUAGUGGAAUUCCCAGUGUAGAGGUGAAAUUCGUAGAUAUUGGGAAGAACACCGGUGGCGAAGGCGGCUAUCUGGACCGUAACUGACGCUGAGGCGCGAAAGCGUGGGAGCAAACAGG
RNAcentral lists this ribosomal RNA (252 nucleotides) under uncultured bacterium. RNAcentral describes it as "partial 16S ribosomal RNA". It matches the Rfam family "Bacterial small subunit ribosomal RNA", at positions 524 to 776 of the family's 1533-position model. The record is from RNAcentral.